Molecule: small RNA, 46 nt
Filed under: Lentisphaera araneosa HTCC2155
Lineage: Bacteria; Pseudomonadati; Lentisphaerota; Lentisphaeria; Lentisphaerales; Lentisphaeraceae
Description: Acido-Lenti-1 RNA
Rfam family: Acido-Lenti-1 RNA
Source: Rfam by way of RNAcentral
CCUGGCACUUCCGUACCAGGCUGCGCUAUACCGUCCCGUCGGGACU